UUAACUGAAUAUAGGAAACUGCUAUGUUUUGUUUGAAAAGAAGAACAUUACACAUUGAAGAAUUAGUAUUUUUUGACAGAUGAUGUGAAUGCUACGACGACUGCUCGACAUGUUGGAGAGAGAAUAGAGGAUAUAGGCUUAUCAGAUGCCAAUGAACAUGCAAAUCCCAUGAGGUAAUUGUACUUUCUACAUUUAGUGUGGCAAUGAGGGAAGAUACUAUUUGUAUGAACAUGUUCCAGUGAAAGAAGAAAAAAAGGAAUAACCUGAAUGUAUUCGGCUGAGAAGCCACAUGCUCACUCACAUCCUCUUCACUGAUUCGUCAUCUGCAGAUACCCUCUCAUCGUCUUCAGCUGAUGCUUCAACCUCGUCCUCUAUCACUUUAUCUUCUUCUUCCUCUUCAGGUUGAUGAGAACUCUUGUCAAAUUGAUCCUCUUUCGAUGAGCACUCAGCAUGAUCUCUUCCUUGUAACCUUUGACCACUCACAGUGUCUUUAUCUAGAUACUUGUAAACUGCAUUCUCCGCACGGACGGCCUCCUCUCUCGAUGAUUUAGAUUUGAGCGCUACAACUAGGAACCAACAAAAUGGAUUUGAGAGAUCCUCACUACCACCGAACUCAGGAGUCAAACACUCUUCAUGAAACCGAAGAAGACAGUCAACCCAAGAACAACUUGAUGCUCCCUCUUCUGAAACUUCACAAACAAUACAAGCAUCAUCGGAUUUAAGCCGCUUCUUGAGAGGCCGCACAGUAUCUGGAUCAAUCUCUAUAGAGCCAAAUCUUUC
RNAcentral lists this long non-coding RNA (780 nucleotides) under Brassica rapa (field mustard). RNAcentral describes it as "long non-coding RNA (BRAP_LNC001676)". Lineage: Eukaryota; Viridiplantae; Streptophyta; Magnoliopsida; Brassicales; Brassicaceae. The record is from RNAcentral.